This 704-nucleotide ribosomal RNA is filed under the name uncultured bacterium. Its description in RNAcentral is "bacterial SSU rRNA". It matches the Rfam family "Bacterial small subunit ribosomal RNA", at positions 110 to 795 of the family's 1533-position model. The record is from RNAcentral.
GUAACGACGUGGGUAACCUGCCCUGGCAGCCCGGGAUACCCUCUCGAAAGGGAGGCUAAUACUGGAUACGUUCCCCGAAUCGAAGGAUCUGGGGAGGAAAGGUGGCGAAAGCUGCCGCUCUUGGAGGGGCUCGCGGCCUAUCAGCUAGUUGGUGAGGUGAUGGCUCACCAAGGCGAUGACGGGUAGCUGGUCUGAGAGGACGACCAGCCACACGGGGACUGAGACACGGCCCCGACUCCUACGGGAGGCAGCAGUGGGGAAUUUUCCGCAAUGGGCGAAAGCCUGACGGAGUGACGCCGCGUGGGGGACGAAGGCCUUCGGGUUGUAAACCCCUGUCAGAGGGAAAGAAGGAUGUCGGAGCGAUAACCUCCGUCAUCUGACGGUACCUUCAGAGGAAGCCCCGGCCAACUCUGUGCCAGCAGCCGCGGUAAGACAGAGGGGGCAAGCGUUGCUCGGAAUCACUGGGCGUAAAGGGCGCGUAGGCGGGGGGGCAAGUCGGUCGUGAAAUCCUUCGGCUCAACCGAAGAACGUCGGCCGAUACUGCCUCUCUUGAGGGAUGCAGAGGAGACUGGAAUUCCCGGUGUAGCGGUGAAAUGUGUAGAGAUCGGGAGGAACACCGGUGGCGAAGGCGGGUCUCUGGGCAUCUCCUGACGCUGAGGCGCGAAAGCGUGGGGGAGCAAAUGGGAUUAGAUACCCCAGUAGUC